AUUGAACGCUGGCGGCAGGCCUAACACAUGCAAGUCGAGCGAGCGGCGGACGGGUGAGUAAUGUCUGGGAAACUGCCUGAUGGAGGGGGAUCACUACUGGAAACGGUAGCUAAUACCGCAUACCAUCAGAUGUGCCCAGAUGGUCUUAGCUAGUAGGUGGGGUAACGGCUCACCUAGGCGACGAGCCCUAGCUGUUCUGGGAGGAUGACCAGCCACACUGGAACUUAGACACGGUCCAGACUCAUACGGGAGGCAGCAGUGGGGAAUAUUGCACAAUGGGCGCAAGCCGGAUGCAGCCAUGCCGCGUGUGUGAAGAAGGCCUUCGGGUUGUAAAGCACUUUCAGCGGGGAGGCGUUACCCGCAGAAGAAGCACCGGCUAACUCCGUGCCAGCAGCCGCGGUAAUAC
RNAcentral lists this ribosomal RNA (406 nucleotides) under uncultured bacterium. RNAcentral describes it as "partial 16S ribosomal RNA". It matches the Rfam family "Bacterial small subunit ribosomal RNA", at positions 30 to 526 of the family's 1533-position model. The record is from RNAcentral.